RNAcentral lists this non-coding RNA (781 nucleotides) under Neope pulaha (veined labyrinth). The record is from RNAcentral. Lineage: Eukaryota; Metazoa; Arthropoda; Insecta; Lepidoptera; Nymphalidae.
CAAUAAAUAAAAUUUUUAUGUUUUAAAGAAUUUAUUAUGAAUUUACUUUACAUAUAAAUUUUAGUAUGAAUUUUUAAUUAUUUUAAUAAUAAUUAAUUUUAAUUAAUAGUAAUUAAAAUUAAAAAUUUAAGAAAUUAAGAUUUAGUAAUAUAAAAAUUAAUAACUAAUUUUGUGCCAGCAGUUGCGGUUAAACAAAAAUUAAAUUAAAUUUUUUCAGUAUUUAAUAAAUAAAUAUAUAAUUAAAAUAAAUAUUAAAUUAUUAAGUAAAAUUUUAAUUUAAUUAAAUUUUAAAUUAUUUUUAUGGUUUAAUAAAUUUGUUAAUAAACUAGGAUUAGAUACCCUACUAUUAAAAAUUUAAUUUAUAAUACUAAAAUAGUAAAUAAAAAAUAUUGAAACUUAAAUAAUAUGGCGGUAUUUUAGUUCAUUUAGAGGAAUCUGUUUAAUAAUUGAUAAUCCACGAAUAAAUUUACUUAAUUUAAGAUUUUAUAUAUCGUUGUUAAAAAAAUAUUUUUUAAUGAUAAUAAUAUUUAAAAAUUUUUAUUAAAAAUUAAUUCAGAUCAAGAUGUAGAUUAUAAUUAAGAAUAUAAUGGAUUACAAUAAAAUAAUUUAGAAUGAAAAAUUUAAUUUUAAUAUUAAUUUGAAAGUGGAUUUAAAUGUAAUUUUAAUUAGUUUAUUAAAAUGAUUAAAAAUUAAAAUAUGUACAUAUUGCCCGUCACUUUCAUUUUAAAAUUGGAAUAAGUCGUAACAAAGUAGAAGUACUGGAAAGUGUUUCUAGAAUGAA